CUCUUCUUGAAUAUAUUUUGAUGUAUGGCCUGCCCACUGAAUAUUGAAGGGCCGCGGUAUUUUGACCGUGCAAAGGUAGCAUAAUCAUUAGUCUUUUAAUUGUAGGCUGGAAUGAAUGGUUUGACGAGGUGUUAACUGUCUUUAAUUUUUUUUAUUGAAUUUAAAUUUUAGGUUAAAAUGCCUAAAUGUUUUUUUGGGACGAGAAGACCCUAUAGAGUUUUAUAUAUUUUUAUUUUUUUUGUAUGAUAAUUUUUAAUAUAAAAAUUUAUUUUGUUGGGGUGAUGAGAAGAUUAAAUUAACUCUUUUUGUUUUUUUAUAUUUAUUUAUAUUUAUUUGAUCCAUUUUUAUUGAUUAUAAGACUAAAUUACC
This 369-nucleotide ribosomal RNA is filed under the name Cryptocercus shangmengensis. RNAcentral's name for it is "partial 16S large subunit ribosomal RNA". The record is from RNAcentral. Lineage: Eukaryota; Metazoa; Arthropoda; Insecta; Blattodea; Cryptocercidae.